GAUGAACGCUGGCGGCGUGCCUAAUACAUGCAAGUCGAGCGAACAGACGAGGAGCUUGCUCCUCUGACGUUAGCGGCGGACGGGUGAGUAACACGUGGAUAACCUACCUAUAAGACUGGGAUAACUUCGGGAAACCGGAGCUAAUACCGGAUAAUAUAUUGAACCGCAUGGUUCAAUAGUGAAAGACGGUUUUGCUGUCACUUAUAGAUGGACCCGCGCCGCAUUAGCUAGUUGGUAAGGUAACGGCUUACCAAGGCAACGAUGCGUAGCCGACCUGAGAGGGUGAUCGGCCAGACUGGAACUGAGACACGUUCCAGACUCCUACGGGAGGCAGCAGUAGGGAAUCUUCCGCAAUGGGCGAAAGCCUGACAGAGCAACGCCGCGUGAGUGAUGAAGGUCUUCGGAUCGUAAAACUCUGUUAUUAGGGAAGAACAAAUGUGUAAGUAACUGUGCACGUCUUGACGGUACCUAAUCAGAAAGCCACGGCUAACUACGUG
Molecule: ribosomal RNA, 497 nt
Filed under: uncultured bacterium
Lineage: Bacteria
Description: partial 16S ribosomal RNA
Rfam family: Bacterial small subunit ribosomal RNA
Source: RNAcentral